ACAUUUUUAGAAAUGCACCACAUCAAUAACGAAGAAUAUUGUAUGGACAAAAAAACAGAUCUCAACAAUUUGAGUGAAAUCAUUUAGUAUUCAGACACUGUCAAAGUUUGACUGAUUCCAAUUUUUAUUGAUGUUUUUACUGUUCGCUUUGUUCCAAAGUUUCUUUAUUAUUCUCUCGUUAUUGUCCUGACGAAGGUAAUGAAUUUGCCAAAAGCUUGACAGUAACAAAGAGUGUUCUUUGUAACAACCCUACAAAUCCAACUACAACCUCACAAAAUAAAUCGAUUUAUAUUAAAGCCAGUCACGAAUUCUUCUCAGUAUACAUGUUGUUACGGCCAUUUUAAUAUAUACCAAAAAUACAAUAUUGAAAUAUUUGUGGUAAAGUUU
This is a long non-coding RNA of Leptinotarsa decemlineata (Colorado potato beetle), 387 nucleotides long. NCBI's taxonomy places the organism in Eukaryota, Metazoa, Arthropoda, Insecta, Coleoptera, Chrysomelidae. The record is from RefSeq and is a predicted model, not a curated record.